Molecule: small nuclear RNA, 106 nt
Organism: Zalophus californianus (California sea lion)
Lineage: Eukaryota; Metazoa; Chordata; Mammalia; Carnivora; Otariidae
Source: Ensembl
GUACCUGCUUCGGCAGCACAUAUAUUAAAAUUAGAAUAAUACAAAGAAGAUUAGCAUUACCUCUGUUCAAGGAUGAAUGUAAGUUCGUAAAGCAUUCUAUAUUUUA